GAUGAACGCUGGCGGCGUGCCUAAUACAUGCAAGUCGAGCGAAUGGAUUAAGAGCUUGCUCUUAUGAAGUUAGCGGCGGACGGGUGAGUAACACGUGGGUAACCUGCCCAUAAGACUGGGAUAACUCCGGGAAACCGGGGCUAAUACCGGAUAAUAUUUUGAACUGCAUGGUUCAAAAUUGAAAGGCGGCUUCGGCUGUCACUUAUGGAUGGACCCGCGUCGCAUUAGCUAGUUGGUGAGGUAACGGCUCACCAAGGCAACGAUGCGUAGCCGGCCUGGGAGGGUGAUCGGCCACACUGGGACUGAGACACGGACCAGACUCCUACGGGAGACAGCAGUAGGGAAUCUUCCGCAAUGGACGAAAGUCUGACGGAGCAACGCCGCGUGAGUGAUGAAGGCUUUCGGGUCGUAAAACUCUGUUGUUAGGGAAGAACAAGUGCUAGUUGAAUAAGCUGGCACCUUGACGGUACCUAACCAGAAAGCCACGGCUAACUACGUGCCAGCAGCCGCGGUAA
RNAcentral lists this ribosomal RNA (515 nucleotides) under uncultured bacterium. RNAcentral describes it as "partial 16S ribosomal RNA". It matches the Rfam family "Bacterial small subunit ribosomal RNA", at positions 28 to 523 of the family's 1533-position model. The record is from RNAcentral.